UACGUAGGGUGCGAGCGUUGUCCGGAAUUACUGGGCGUAAAGGGCUCGUAGGCGGUCAGGUAAGUGGGAUGUGAAAUGCCCCGGCUCACCCGGGGACCGGCAUCCCAUACUGCUUGGCUUGAGUACGGGAGAGGAUGUGGGAAUUCCUGGGGUAGCGGUGAAAUGCGUAGAUAUCAGGAGGAACACCGGUGGCGAAGGCGCACAUCUGGCCCGAUACUGACGCUGAGGCGCGAAAGCUAGGGGAGCAAGCGGG
Molecule: ribosomal RNA, 253 nt
Filed under: uncultured bacterium
Lineage: Bacteria
Description: partial 16S ribosomal RNA
Rfam family: Bacterial small subunit ribosomal RNA
Source: RNAcentral